RNAcentral lists this ribosomal RNA (253 nucleotides) under uncultured bacterium. Its description in RNAcentral is "partial 16S ribosomal RNA". It matches the Rfam family "Bacterial small subunit ribosomal RNA", at positions 524 to 776 of the family's 1533-position model. The record is from RNAcentral.
UACGGAGGAUGCAAGCGUUAUCCGGAUUCAUUGGGUUUAAAGGGUGCGUAGGCGGCCUUUUAAGUCAGUGGUGAAAUCUUGCCGCUUAACGGUAAAAUUACCAUUGAUACUGAAAGGCUUGAGUACAUUUGAGGUAAGCGGAAUGUGUAGUGUAGCGGUGAAAUGCUUAGAUAUUACACAGGACACCAAUUGCGAAGGCAGCUUACUAAACUGUGACUGACGCUGAUGCACGAAAGCGUGGGGAGCAAACAGG